AGCAGCCGCGGUAAUUCCAGCUCCAAUAGCGUAUAUUAAAGUUGUUGCAGUUAAAAGCUCGUAGUUGAAUUUCGGGAUCAAAGGAUCGGUCAUGCCUUGGUAUGUACUGGUUUUAUUGGUUCUCACCUUCUAAAGAACCAUAAUGUCAUUCAUUUGAUGUUAUGGGGAAUUAGGACUGUUACCUUGAAAAAAUUAGAGUGUUUAAAGCAGGCUUACGCUUGAAUACAUUAGCAUGGAAUAAUGAAAUAGGACAUCAGAUUCUAUUUUGUUGGUUUCUAGGAUCGAUGUAAUGAUUAAUAGGGAUAGUUGGGGGCAUUAGUAUUCAAUUGUCAGAGGUGAAAUUCUUGGACUUAUUGAAGACUAACUACUGCGAAAGCAUUUGCCAAGGAUGUUUUCAUUAAUCAAGAACGAAAGUUAGGGGAUCGAAGACGAUCAGAUACCGUCGUAGUCUUAACCAUAAACUAUGCCGACUAGGGAUCGGAUGAUGUUAAUUUUAUAAUGACUCAUUCGGCACCUUACG
Molecule: ribosomal RNA, 520 nt
Filed under: uncultured Glomus
Lineage: Eukaryota; Fungi; Glomeromycota; Glomeromycetes; Glomerales; Glomeraceae
Description: SSU rRNA
Rfam family: Eukaryotic small subunit ribosomal RNA
Source: RNAcentral